GCGGACGUGGCGAAACAGGUAGACGCAAGGGACUUAAAAUCCCUCGACCGAUUGGUCAUGCGGGUUCGAGCCCCGCCGUCCGCACCA
Molecule: transfer RNA, 87 nt
Filed under: Martelella sp. AD-3
Lineage: Bacteria; Pseudomonadati; Pseudomonadota; Alphaproteobacteria; Hyphomicrobiales; Aurantimonadaceae
Also listed under: 3 other names
Description: tRNA-Leu
Rfam family: tRNA
About the family: Transfer RNA (tRNA) molecules are approximately 80 nucleotides in length. Their secondary structure includes four short double-helical elements and three loops (D, anti-codon, and T loops). Further hydrogen bonds mediate the characteristic L-shaped molecular structure. tRNAs have two regions of fundamental functional importance: the anti-codon, which is responsible for specific mRNA codon recognition, and the 3' end, to which the tRNAs corresponding amino acid is attached (by aminoacyl-tRNA synthetases). tRNAs cope with the degeneracy of the genetic code in two manners: having more than one tRNA (with a specific anti-codon) for a particular amino acid; and 'wobble' base-pairing, i.e. permitting non-standard base-pairing at the 3rd anti-codon position.
Source: RNAcentral